GUGGAAAUUAAUGAACAGAAGCAGCAUCUAACUUAAAAAGAAAUGCUGCAUGCAGCCUACCCUACCAAUGUCCUUGGUUAUUCAAGGACUGCAUAGGUUCUUGAGGUCAUCCUCCUUUGCAUACCAGCUUGGUAUAAUCCUUGCAGCAUAGGGAUAGAGGUCCUUGUAGGAAUUCCUAAUGGUCCCUUCUGCUACUCCUGUA
RNAcentral lists this unclassified non-coding RNA (202 nucleotides) under Hevea brasiliensis (rubber tree). The record is from RNAcentral. Lineage: Eukaryota; Viridiplantae; Streptophyta; Magnoliopsida; Malpighiales; Euphorbiaceae.